UUAAUACAAUGCUAAUGAAAUUAAAUAAAAAAAUUGGAAAGAGGAAUUAGGGUAAGGUUUGUGACGCAUCAGAUUCCCUCUUAAGGACUCAUCUCUCUCUCUCGCGCGAAAGCACAGACGGCGGCCGGAAUCGUCGUCCCGUCUCCGAUUGCUCACUCUGCGUCACUCUCGAUCACUCUCUGAAUCAAGUUAUCCCCACUUCAAUCUCUCUCAAUCUCGAAUCCGCUCUCAAACUUUCUCUGCUUUCGAUCUCAAAUCUGCUUCAACUCCGAUUUGAUAUACCGGAGAAUGUUUGACGCCUUUUCCAUGGUACCGACGAGGAGAAAACUCCACCGUUAAAGACAGGUGAUUGGAGAAUCAGAGGAAGCUGUGUGAUGGUUGAAUCGUGAGAGGAGAUUGAAGAAUGAAGGUUAUUGAUGACAAAUGCGAUGCGGUUCUUGCGAUGAUUCGUAGAUAAAGGUUGUGAAGCUGCAAUUGUUGUUCUGAGAUGUAAAAUUCGUUAGAGUCUCGAAGAUUAUUACGUGAAGGUGUGAUUGAAUGAAGAAUCGAUGGAGAGUUCUGUUAUUCUCUUUUCUCCUUCCCGAUUUUCUCUCUGUUACCUCCCCUUUUUCUGUUUUCCAAUUCUAUUAUACUGAGUUCUCCCCUCUCUUUGUUGUGUCGAAUCUCUUUUGUUAUUGAAUUUUGUUCCGAUCAUUUCUUUCUGAUUUUUCGGUUAUGAACUCUUUUCUUCCGCCAAUUUUUGCAGGUGGUGAUGAAUGAAUGAUUGGUUAUGGUUCUUGCUACCGGUUCCCUUUGUUGUGCCGGCUUUUGUUUAUUUCUUCUUCUCUUCUUUUGUGAAUUCUGUCUUGGUUUGAACCAGUUUCAAAUUAUCGAGUUGGCUUGAACUUAUAUGCAUGAAGAGUAUUUGAACCGGUACAAUUUCCCAUUUUGCAGGUUGAGCACAUGGUUUUGGAAACAAAGAGUUCAUAUGGUAUGAAAGAACUUAGCCAAGAAGAAUUGAUCCAAUAUUCUGAGCAUUAUUUAUAGAAUUUAAGAGAAAUAUCUUUUCAAAAAGUUAGGACCUAGUGUUGAAUGAUUGAAUUUGAAUUAUUGAUGUAAUGAUGGACUAUUGGUGGAUGUAAAUUGUAAUGAAUAUGAUUUUGAACAUUCUUGAUU
Molecule: long non-coding RNA, 1155 nt
Organism: Vicia villosa (hairy vetch)
Lineage: Eukaryota; Viridiplantae; Streptophyta; Magnoliopsida; Fabales; Fabaceae
Exons: 2
Source: RefSeq, a predicted model, not a curated record